Long non-coding RNA from Loxodonta africana (African savanna elephant), 5044 nucleotides. RefSeq lists it as uncharacterized. NCBI's taxonomy places the organism in Eukaryota, Metazoa, Chordata, Mammalia, Proboscidea, Elephantidae. The transcript is spliced from 4 exons. The record is from RefSeq and is a predicted model, not a curated record.
CUUAUGGGUCGUCCUUUUUCACAACUUUUUUCACUGGGGCUGAGGGGAGGAGGGAGGCUGCUGUAUUCUGUUUGUGUUUGUGUCUUUUCUUUUUUCUGUUGUUGGUAGAAGAAUCACACUUGUCAUAUAGUAAGUAAUUUUCCUCCUUCAACCUUAAUUUACUUUCUCUGAGAAAGUGAAGUGUGUGUGUGAGAGGCUCUGGGAGAAGGGUGUGUGUGAGAGGCUCUGGGAGAAGGGUGAAGGAAAGAUGGAGGAGCAGAAUGUAGAGAGAGGCGGGGAGAGGGAGGGCUUCCUAACCCAUGUUACAUUGUGGAGACCUGUGGAGACUUACAACUAUCAAAAUUCUCCACAGCAGUGAAGGCAGAAGAAGAGAUAGAGUGGAGCACUAGGCAGCACAGCACCUACGUGAGAUUUAGAAAAUUGUGCCUGUUCUGGGUGCAGCUUGCAGAGCUUGGCAAGUAGAGCACAGCCUGGGUUUCAGCCUCCACCGUCACCUCUACCAAGAGGGUUGUUCAGUGAACAGCUUUCACAACUGCGAUCAGCAGUCUUGGUUGGGGGAAGCCUGGUCACAAAUGCUGUGGAAGACGAGGACCCCCAAGGAACUGAGUAAGUGAAGAGGUUCAUCUACGCUGUGGCACGCACCAAGACUUCAUUUCUCUUUAUGGUUGAGUAACGUUCCAUUGUGUGUAUAUACCAAGUUUUGUUUAUCCAUUUGUCUGUCGAUGGACAUUUUGUUUUUUUCUAUCUUUUGGCUAUUGUGACAAGUGCUGCAAUGGACAUUGGUUUACAGUGCUCAGUGUCUGCUGUGUUGUGAACACAGCUUGAGGCGAACCACCCAACUCUACAUGUUUUCCAUCUGUCAGACGUGAGUGACAGAUUGUCAGAUUUUUCAGGGAUAAUAAUUUUACCCACCUCAGCCUGGAGCAACAGAGGAAGGGGAAUCAGAAAUAGGAGGAGAAAAUGGAAUGUGUGUCUAAUUGCCUCCGUCAACAACUGCUUCCUUUGCCAUGAGACCAGAAGAACUGGAUGAUACCCCGCUACCAUUACUGAACAUUUUAAUCAAAGAUACCGUAGAAGAAUCCUGAUCAAAAGGAGGAAACGCAAAACAGAAUUUCAUAUGCUCAUGAACUCCAGACUUCCUGGAGCCACGGAGCUUGGAUGAACCCCUGAAACUAUUGUCCUGAGAUAAUCUUUAAAACUUCAACCAAAAAAAGUAUUAUGCUCUUUAAAGAACUAUCUAUAUGGGAUUAAAGUGACAAGAGCAACUCGAAAGAUUAGAUAAGAACCUUAGGGGGCAGUGAGUUUAUGUUAGUGGGGGAGGAACAACUCAGAGAAGGACGGUGAGAAUGGAUGCACAACUCAAAGAAUGUAUUCAAUGUCACUGAAUUGGCCAUGUAGAGACUGUUGAAUUGAUGUAUAUUUUGAUGUGUAUAUUCUCAACAACAACAACAAAAAAGAGUCUUAGGUCACAUCUUUCUUGAAUGUUAGAGUUCUACCGUAUAGUAAAAGCAUAAUGGGACAACAACAACAACAAAACUGUGGAAAUAAAGAAUAUUUUAAAAUGUUGUAAUAAAGAAUAUUUGUAAAUAAAAACGUAGUGCCCACAAUGCAAUGACGAAGUUUAAAUGGAGUAAUAUGCAUGCAAUACAUUUAGCGUGUUGCUGGAUCAUACAUUGUUGUUGUUGUUACUUGGUGUCUACACAACAGACACUGAGCUCUAUGAGGGAAAUGAAAUAAACACCAUGAAAUGAAAACUUUGUCAGCAGAGAUGAGAGGGCCACUCAUUAGGUACAAUAGAACAAGCAUUGCCAGGUCCUGCACCACCUUUAUGAUUGUUGGUAUGUUUGAGUCCUUGUGUUGGGCAUCGUGUCAGUCCAUCUCACAGAGUACCACCUCACCUUUACCAAACAUGACGUUUUUCUUAGUGAUUGGUCUCUCCUAAUGACACGUUCAAAGUAGGGGAGCCACAGUCUCACCAUCCUCCUAAGGAGCAUUCUGGUUUCAUUUCUUCUUGUUCAAAAUUUUAUGGAUAGUUGGAUCAUACAGAGAGUCAGCAUCUAUCAUUUCUGGUCCUCAGUCUUGCUGGUCACAGUGAAAUAAAGGGGUGGGAAGACGCAUCACUUGUCUAAAACAGAUUGCCCACAGUGCACUUUGCCCCCAGGGCUUUGAAAUGUUUUCCAACCCAGUAAAAUCUUUGUGACUGGGCGAAAGCCUUAAAUAAAGCAGGGCACAGAGCUGAUGACAUCUUCUCCCAUCCUGGGGGUAGCAGGUGAAGGCAGGUGGGAACAUUCUAUAUUCCAAAUACUUCAGGCCAAAGUAAAGGCAGGAAAGAAAUCAUGAGAGGUUUCCUGAGGGUAUGGGUCUGAGGUCAAAUUGCUGGAGAAAGGGUGAAAAGGAGAGAAAACAAAGAGAGAGUGAAAACUGAAAAGGUUUAAACAAACCCUCAGCCUCUGCCCAAUUCUCCAUUUCUUUUCUCACCUCUUGAAAUUGGGAGGAGCCCCUGGGUGGUGCCAACAGUUAACAUGCUCUGUUGCCAACCAGAAGUUCGAGUCCACCCAGAGGUGCCUUGAAAGAAAAGUCUGGGAACCUACUUCUGAAAAAUGAGCCAUUGAAAACCGUGUGAUGCACAUUUCUACUCUGACACACAUGGGGUUGCCAUGAGUUGGAAUCAACUCCAAGGCUAUUGGUUUUGGUUUCUUGAAAUUGCAAAGGAAACUCUGCCUGGCUGGUUGGGGCUGUUUUAGGACAGUGAACACUACAAACACCUGAGCCCUUGUUUAGAUCCUUAUCUACUUUGGGGAGAGAAUUUUACAGCUAAAAUCAACGGUAGAUUAGAAAGGCCGGCCCAGGAGCACCCAGACGUGCUCAUCAGAGCUUCUGCCCUCACAAAAAGACACGGAGUCCCUGAGGGCUGGCUGCAUGGGCCUGCCCUGCAGGGCAGCUUUUAGCACCUCAGGGAGCUGGGAGGAGGAGGGACGCAGCAGCACUUGGAGAUGACUGAACACCUCUCCUGCUUACACUGAUUUGGGAUGAUUUUCACUGUUGGACUCUUUACUACAAGCCCUGGGAGUGGGUUGCCAUGGUUAUGCCAGUUUUAACAGGAAGUUAGGGUCAAGUGGCUUCCCCAGGCCAUGCGGCUUUUAGCUGCCGCAUUUUGGAGUCUAACUUCUCCUUGGAAAGCCUGCUUUGCUGGGGGAAGGAUCGUGUGGAGAGGAGGGUGAAUUCAAUUUGAAAUAAUUUAUGCUUUAUCCAUAGACAGGAGAUAGAAAAUGGUGGUGGGUAAGUGUAAGGGGGUUUGGAGUCAGAUAGCUUUGUCAUGUACCACCUAUGUGACUCUAAGCAAAUUACCUAACCCUUCUGAGAAACGGGAGCCCAACUGUAUGCACUCCAUAGGAGAGCCAUGAGGGUUAAGUGAAGUGAUGUGUGACCCAUGGAAAGCUCCAGGGUGUGUUGGUUUACCAGGUCCUUCCGUGAACAUUAUCUCAAGGGCUUGCAGAAUAGCCCUGGGAAGCUGGUGUUAAUGCCACCCUAUUUUUACAGAGGGGACCAAGGCAGGAAUUCAAGGGCUUCCUAUGUUGGCCUUCAAAGGCGUGCCUGUGUCUCUAACCUUAUCCCACCACACUGUGCAGUAGCCAGACCAGCCUCUGUGCCUGGUCCAUGCCAUGCCCAGCCCUGCCUCAGGGCCUUUGCUCUUACUGUCUGUCCCCUCCUGUUGGGACACUCUUCCCUGACUUUUCAUGAGACCAGCUCCUUUUCUUUCUUUAGAUUUCAGCUGGGGUCACCUUCUCGGGGGGACUUUUUGUCUUCUAGUUACCCUCAUUACCCAUUGCUGUUGUUAGUUGCCGCCAAAUUGAUUCUGACUCAUAGCGACCUUAUGUGUGCAGAGUAGAACUACUCCAUAGGGUUUUCCAGGCUGCCACCUUUUGGAAGUAGAUCGUCAGGCCUUACUUUCUAGGCACGUCAGAGUAAGUUCGAACCGCCAACCUUUCAGUUAGUAGUCCAGCGCUUAACCAUUUGGGCCUCCCAGGGACUCCUUGCUACUAGUUAAUCUCUAUCAUCUCACUUUAUUUUCAUUAAACAACUCAUUCUAAUAUGAGAUUAACUUGUUUAUCGUCUUUGAACAACUCAUUGCAAUCUGAAAUUACUGGGCUUAUCAGUCUUCCCACCAUUAGCACAUAAGUUCCUGUGUCAAUCUGGUUUCCUUCUGUGUCCUCCUACAUUUAACCUUAAACUGGAGACCCUCUGGAAUCUGUGGGUAGAAUUAAGGCUCUAUGAAUCUGGAAAGGAAAAAAAAUUGCAUCUUUAUUUUCACUAACCCCGUAACUGAAGCUUAGUAUUUCCUUCCAUUAUGACUGUAGGCAACAAACCACGGUAGUAUCAACUGUACUUGAGGCUGUCACACACCACAGUUUUGCAGAUAUCUUGAAAUAUAUGCUGAUCACUAAUAUGAUGUACAGUAUUUAGAUUCACUGCUGGAUCUUGCUAUUUAAUGCAAUAAUAAAGAAACACCUGUGUUACCACCCACCACCCAUCUGUCAGUUUGUCAUAUGGUUGUGACUUGCAUGUUGCUAUGAUGCUGGAAGCUAUGCCACAGGUAUUUCAAAUAGCAGUAGGGCCACCCAUAGUGGGCAGGUUUCAGAGAAGCUUCUAGACUAAGACUAGGAAGAAAAGCCUGCUAAUCUGCUUCUGAAACUUAGCCAAUGACAACCUUAUGGAUCACAACAGCAUAUUGUUCAAUAUGGUACUAGAAGGUGACAUAGGACCUGGCAACGUUUCCUUCUGUUAAGCACAAGGUCACCGUGAGUCGGAGCUGACUCUACAGCAACUAAUAAAAACAACUUCACAAAUAAAAAAAUAUUUUUAUAUAUUCAAUAUAUUUUAUAAUUCCAUGUAUUUAUUUUAUACAUUUGAGAAGCAUUAGCCUGAAUCCAUAGGUUUGACCAGAUUGCCAAUAGAGUUCUUGGCACAAAAAAGGUUAACUAUCUCUGUGGCCUACAACAGUGCUUGACACAUAAUAACCAAAAAACCAAACCCGUUGAUGUCA